CAUCCACCGGGCGGUGGCAAUCAGCGGGGAUUUAGCUGAGGCCAUCCGGGCAGGAAAGCAAAAACCAACCCCACCAACAGAAAACAAUGCAUCCCAAAGCCAGGCCUGCGUCACCGAGGUGUCACCACCCCAUAAAGGAGGCCAGUGAGACGCCUGGGAGCCCGCGAGUCCCGUCGGUCGGGGCGCGAGGUGGAGCUGUAAAGCCCUCUGGGCGCGCUCCGUGUCCUCCCGCGUCCCUCCCGUAAAUGGUCCCGCCACUUGGCAGUCUGCUCUCGCCGUUUUUAUUUGGGGUCGUCCCCAAAGGCCACGUGGUGGGGAAACAGGGCCGGGGACACAAUGGUGGCACAGUGACCAGCCGUCCGGGCCCUGGCUAAUCACUAGAAACACCUGGAGGAACUCGUUGAAGGAAACAAAGGCAAAAUACAGCAUUGACCUUGCACCUACUGGGGGAACAGAAAACUCAGGUGGCUGCUCUGACAAAGUUCCUCCGACUUCCAAGUUGUAGGGGAGGGGUGAUCCAGCGCGCUUUCCCCAUCCUCCACGUCACUCCCCGCUCCACACAGCGCUCUUGCUUGGUGAUCUCACCCUUUGUCGACCCAAGAACAGUCAUCGCAUUGUUUCAUCCUCAGCCUAACUCGACUCCCCUUACAUUUUUACCGCUAAAUUGAAUCUACUGCCAGUAAUCUAAUUUACAUUUGAAGGCACACACAAUGCCAACACAACCAAAUGCCAAUAAAAUUUCUAGUAAAA
Molecule: long non-coding RNA, 750 nt
Filed under: Homo sapiens (human)
Lineage: Eukaryota; Metazoa; Chordata; Mammalia; Primates; Hominidae
Description: HSALNT0378787
Source: RNAcentral